This 2290-nucleotide ribosomal RNA is filed under the name human gut metagenome. RNAcentral describes it as "bacterial LSU rRNA". It matches the Rfam family "Bacterial large subunit ribosomal RNA", at positions 522 to 2841 of the family's 2925-position model. The record is from RNAcentral.
AACCCCGGGAGGGGAGUGAAAGAGAACCUGAAACCUUAUGUUUACAAACAGUCGAAGUUUUUCGGAACGACGGCGUACUUUUUGUAGAACGGUCCGGCGAGUUGCAGUGACAUGCGAGGUUAAGGAGUACAGCUCCGGAGCCGAAGGGAAACCAAGUCUUAACUGGGCGUCUAGUAUGUUAAUGCAGACCCGAAACCGGGUGACCUAUCCAUGGGCAGGUUGAAGUUACCGUAAAAGGUAAUGGAGGACCGAACUCACAUCUGUUGAAAAAGGUGGAGAUGACCUGUGGAUAGCGGAGAAAUUCCAAUCGAACUCGGAGAUAGCUGGUUCUCCUCGAAAUAGCUUUAGGGCUAGCCUUGAGGUAAAGUCUAAUGGAGGUAAAGCACUGAUUGGACGCGGGUCCCCAAAAGGAUACCAACUUCUAUCAAACUCAGAAUGCCAUAUAGAUAUACUCAGGAGUCAGACUAUGUGAGAUAAGUUUCAUAGUCAAAAGGGAAAGAGCCCAGACCGACAGCUAAGGUCCCAAAGUGUGUGUUAAGUGGAAAAGGAUGUUAGGUUUCUAAGACAACUAGGAUGUUGGCUCAGAAGCAGCCACUCAUUUAAAGAGUGCGUAACAGCUCACUAGUCGAGAGGUCUAGCGCCGAAAAUGUCCGGGGCUAAAACACACCACCGAAGCUACGGAAUUACCUAUGGUAAUUGGUAGAGGAGCAUUCUGUAAGGACGAAGCACAAUUGAAAGAGAGUGUGGACGAAACAGAAGAGAGAAUGCCGGAAUGAGUAGCGAGAUAUAUGUGAGAAUCAUAUAGGUCGAAUGUCUAAGGUUUCCUGGGUAAAGCUGAUCUGCUCAGGGUAAGUCGGGACCUAAGGUGAGGGCGAGAGCCGUAAUCGAUGGACAACAGGUAGAAAUUCCUGUACUACGUAUAAUCAGAACUGUGGGGACGCAGGAGGAUAGGAAAACCGGAGAAUGGAAAUAUCCGGCUAAGUACAAAGGUGUGAGUGAUAGGCAAAUCCGUCACUAUAAGCUGAAGUACGAAUGGGAGCGAAGAAAAGUAGCGAAGUUUCUGAACCACACUGUCAAGAAAAGCCGCUAUUGCGUUAUACGUACCCGUACCGCAAACCGACACAGGUAGACGAGGAGAAAAUCCACAGACCGACGGGAGAAGUGUUGUUAAGGAACUCGGCAAAAUGACCCCGUAACUUAGGGAUAAGGGGAGCCAACGCAAGUUGGUCACAGAAAAGAGGCUCAAGCGACUGUUUAGCAAAAACAUAGGUCUAUGCGAAACCGUAAGGUGAUGUAUAUGGGCUGACACCUGCCCGGUGCUGGAAGGUCAAAAGGAGAGGUUAGCGUAAGCGAAGCUUUGAAUUCAAGCCCCAGUAAACGGCGGCCGUAACUAUAACGGUCCUAAGGUAGCGAAAUUCCUUGUCAGGUAAGUUCUGACCCGCACGAAAGGUGUAACGAUUUGAGCACUGUCUCGACAACACGCCCGGUGAAAUUGAAGAACCAGUGAAGAUACUGGUUACCCGCAACAGGACGGAAAGACCCCAUGGAGCUUUACUGCAGCUUAAUAUUGGGAUUCGGUAUUGUAUGUACAGGAUAGGAGGGAGACUAAGAAGCUAGCACGCCAGUGUUGGUGGAGUCGAUGGUGGGAUACCUCUCUUAUAAUACUGAAUUUCUAACCUACUUCCGUGAUCCGGAAGAGGGACAUUGUUAGGCGGGCAGUUUGACUGGGGCGGUCGCCUCCGAAAGAGUAACGGAGGCGCUCAAAGGUCUUCUCAGAAUGAUUGGAAACCAUUCAAAGAGUGUAAAGGCAAAAGAAGGCUUGACUGCAAGAGUGACAACUCGAGCAGGUACGAAAGUAGGACUUAGUGAUCCGGUGGUAACAAGUGGGAGUGCCAUCGCUUAACGGAUAAAAGCUACCCUGGGGAUAACAGGCUGAUCUCCCCCAAGAGUCCACAUCGUCGGGGAGGUUUGGCACCUCGAUGUCGGCUCAUCGCAUCCUGGGGCUGUAGUAGGUCCCAAGGGUUGGGCUGUUCGCCCAUUAAAGCGGUACGCGAGCUGGGUUCAGAACGUCGUGAGACAGUUCGGUCCCUAUCCGUUGUGGGCGUAGGAAAUUUGAUAGGAGCUGUCCUUAGUACGAGAGGACCGGGAUGGACGAACCUCUGGUGAAUCUGUUGGUAACCAAUGCCACAGCAGAAUAGCCAAGUUUGGAACGGAUAAACGCUGAAGGCAUCUAAGCGUGAAGCCAACCUAAAGACUAGAUUUCCCAUGCGAAAGCAGUAAGACUCCUUGU